UGGGGAAUUUUGGACAAUGGGCGAAAGCCUGAUCCAGCAAUGCCGCGUGUGUGAAGAAGGCCUUCGGGUUGUAAAGCACUUUUGUCCGGAAAGAAAUCCUUGGCUCUAAUACAGUCGGGGGAUGACGGUACCGGAAGAAUAAGCACCGGCUAACUACGUGCCAGCAGCCGCGGUAAUACGUAGGGUGCAAGCGUUAAUCGGAAUUACUGGGCGUAAAGCGUGCGCAGGCGGUUUGCUGAGACCGAUGUGAAAUCCCCGGGCUCAACCUGGGAACUGCAUUGGUGACUGGCAGGCUAGAGUAUGGCAGAGGGGGGUAGAAUUCCACGUGUAGCAGUGAAAUGCGUAGAGAUGUGGAGGAAUACCGAUGGCGAAGGCAGCCCCCUGGGCCAAUACUGACGCUCAUGCACGAAAGCGUGGGGAGCAAACAGGAUUAGAUACCCCUGGUAGUCCACGCCCUAAACGAUGUCAACUAGUUGUUGGGGAUUCAUUUCCUUAGUAACGUAGCUAACGCGUGAAGUUGACCGCCUGGGGAGUACGGUCGCAAGAUUAAAACUCAAAUGAAUUGACGGGGUCAUAGCUGUUUCCU
Molecule: ribosomal RNA, 586 nt
Filed under: uncultured bacterium
Lineage: Bacteria
Description: partial 16S ribosomal RNA
Rfam family: Bacterial small subunit ribosomal RNA
Source: RNAcentral